UACGAAGGGGGCUAGCGUUGCUCGGAAUCACUGGGCGUACAGGGAGCGUAGGCGGUUGGGUAAGCCCUCCGUGAAAUCUCCGGGCCUAACCCGGAAAGUGCGGAGGGGACUGCUCGGCUAGAGGAUGGGAGAGGAGCGCGGAAUUCCCGGUGUAGCGGUGAAAUGCGUAGAGAUCGGGAGGAAGGCCGGUGGCGAAGGCGGCGCUCUGGAACAUUUCUGACGCUGAGGCUCGAAAGCGUGGGGAGCAAACAGG
Molecule: ribosomal RNA, 253 nt
Filed under: uncultured bacterium
Lineage: Bacteria
Description: partial 16S ribosomal RNA
Rfam family: Bacterial small subunit ribosomal RNA
Source: RNAcentral